GGUUCGGGCACAGCGCGCGACGGGAUGGUUCUGUCCAUGGCGCUGUGCUGACCCCAAGUCGCUUAUCGAUCGCCAUGGCGAUUUCCGGCCCGGGGGAUGCCAAAGGUGCCUCUGGCAUCACGCAGAGAGCUCUGGCCAUCGCGCCACAUGCCGGCGAGCACCGGGUGAAGAGCAGAUGAUGGCAGCGGCCAGCGCGCUCACGCAUUCCAGGGGCUGUUUGUUGCCUCCACGCCACGCCCACAACCUGCUCGACGCUGGUCCUCCUCCGUUGAAUGCCCAUGUCCUCUCUACCGAACCCACUGAGCGUUGCUGGCUUGUUCGGGCACGGAGCAUCGCAUGAGUGGAAUACUUCAUGUUAAGCUCACACUGCAGUCUGCACAAGCUGUUUCUUACAAAGGACGGGGUCACGGGGGACAUAUGGUGGAGCACUACAAAGAGGACAGGUUUAAUGCAAUUGUUCGUCCUGCAAAGAUUUUCACCAGCGCAUCAUAUAAGGUUUGCCCAUAAAGUCCAUAACUAUUUUCAAUCUCCCCUUUUUGAUUUUUUUUGACCAUGGGCUUGGCAUCGCAUGUUCCUUCUAGUAAUUCCUUUCAAUCAUUUUGAGCUCAUACUGAUCAGAACCACAGAAGACACAAAGUAAUCUCACAUAGUUUUAGGAGGAAAAGACAAAAGUAUGUUGCGUGUGACCAUGAAAAGUAAACAUAUGUUAGUAAAGAAAGAACAAACAACCUGACUUUCUCAUAUUGCACUCAGUUAUGCCCCAAACUCAAACAAUUAUCAAACCUUGAUUUACACACUAUCUGUAUUUACAAAUCGUUCUUCAGUCACACAACAUUUCAAUGCAAUGGCGAUAGCGAAACCUUGAUGUUUACUAGUACCAACACACUAUACUACACCUCAAGUAAAUAGCAUACAAAUGUACAAAUAGCAACAAAAAUAUACACACUCUAAGGUGAAUGCAGUAUCAAGCUUUUGGUAAUUCAGAUUUUGUGUGUCCAGGCUUGCCUAUGAUAGCUUUCUUCACUUUUGCUAGUUGGUGCUUUACCUUUGAUCCGACACCAGAUAAGAUAUUAUGCUUUUUAGGCGAUGACUUCUGCCCUGCCUCCCGUUCUUCAAUUUUCAUUGGUGUGUCAUCAGCGAAAUUCUUAGCUUCCUCGUCACCAUUUGUCUUUUUGUCAUAACUCUUCUCUUCUGCAAUGUUUGAUACAUCUUUCUUUGGACUUUGUUCUUCAUCUGUGCUGAACUCUGGCUCUUUUAUAUCCACAGAAUUUUCUUCACUCUCAGGAGCUUCUGUUGGUGAAAUCACAUCGAGAUUAUGUUUCUGAUUGUGUGAUGCCUUUUGUACUGCUCCUUGUUCUUCAAUUUUGGCUUUCGCUUCAUCAGUGAAACUCUUAGCUUCCUGUACAUCCUUUGUCUUCUCAUCAGAAGUUUUCUCUCCUGCCAUAUUUGAUUCAUCUUUCUUUGGACUUUGUUCUUCAAUUAUGCUGAAUUCUGGCUUUGACUGCACAAAAUUUUCUUCAACCUCAGGAGCUUCUUCUGGUGAAGCCACAUCGAGAUCACGUUUCUGAACCUGUGAAUUAAAUGUUUCUUGCUCUUCAUUUGAUUGUGCGUUCACUGUUUGCACAUGGCUAUCAACAGUUUCGUUUACAUUCACUUCUUUGAUCACAGGCUCUCUUAUGGCCAAAUAAUUCUGAUCACCUUCAUCAGAUUCUUUAGGAGAUUUUUGUGCAACUUCCGUUUCCUGCUCCAUCUGCAAAUUAGAUUCUCCUGACUUAUCUAGCAGGUUGUUCUUCUCCAUCACAAUUUGGUCGCCUGCAGAUUCAUCUUGCUUAUCUUGGUCUAUAUGUAAGCUGGAACCAUCUAACUGAAUUUCCAAAGCUUUCUCAGAGUUGUCUAGGUCACUGUUUGAGAACUUAUAGCUUUGUUUUUCAUCCUUGCACUCUGAGACUGCAGAAAUCUCCUUUUCCUGAACCAAAUUUAUCUCAUUGCCCAUAACUGGUUCAGUAAUUUCACCUUUCUGCUCAUCAGAUAUUGCUUCUGCACCUUUGUGCGAGAUAUCAUGCAUAUUUUCUAUCUGUUCUUCUGUAGCUCCACCUGUGGUAGUUAUCUGCUGAUUCUCUUCUUCCUUGUCUACUCCAUUCUCCAGUUCUGCCUCUACAGUACUUUCGCCCUCAAUGAUGGAAGAUUCAUUGGACUCUUCUCUUUUUGUGCUCAGAGGACUUUGAAGAUCAUCAGUGUUAUUAGGAAAAUCCUUUUCAUCACCCAUAUUUGGUUCUGUCGACAAGAGUGUUUGCCCGGAUACUGCAUCAGAACUUCUAUUUUCAGGUAAAUGCUUGUGGUGAAGGUCUGUUCUUCCUUCCUCUAAUGCCUCCUCUUGAGAAACCUUUGGGCUUGUUAUGUCAUCAAGGUUGCUCUUCAAGCUUCCUUCCUCAAUCUGUGUUGUCGCUUCCAUAUGUUCCUGACAAACAGAAUUGGUUGCCUUUUCACCCAGCUUGAUAUCUCUUGUUUCCAUUUCUGUAAUCAGGCCAGAUCCACCAGGUACCACCAGUUCACUGGAAGUUUCACCUUGGACACUGUUUUGGCAUACUGGUGCUUCCAAAUCAUGAGUGUUCCUAUUGAGUUCCUCAUCCUUUUCCAGCUUGAUAUCAUGUGUUUCUUCAGAGCCUUCUAAAUUAUGUUUUCCUUUUUCAGAAAUGAGUUCCUUUUCCACCAUAUUUUCUGUAGGAAUUGGCACCAAGCUUUCUUCCUGCUCCGAGGUGAUCAAAGAACUGUCAUCUUUUGUGGUUUCUUCUUGCUUCUUUUCAGCUUCAAAUUCUGAAUUUCCAUCUGGCUCAUUGCUCUCUUUUCCCAUUAUCAGGUUCAUCAGAAAAUGGGAGACAGGCAAAUCACUUUGUUCAGCUUCGUUUUCUUCUUUCUCCGUGUCACCAGUUUCUUGCUCUUGUAUGUUCUCUUCACCUUGUUCUUUGGUUAUUUGAUUCUCUUCUUGCUCUUCUGAUUCGGUGGGGAGUGGCUUCUCUAGAAACAACUCUCUUUCUGUCACCUCUAACUCAGAUGCCUGUUCAGUUUCAUUUCUGUCCACGGCGGAGUGUGCACGAAGAUCAAACUUAUGAUGUUCAUUGUCUUCGUUUAUACUUUCUCCUGUUGCUGUAACUGCAGGUGAAGCCUCAAGAUUCCUUCCGUUCUCCUCGAUGGUCUCGAGAUUUUCAUCAGAUAGUGCCCCAUCAGCUCUACUAGCCUAGAUUGGAAAAGUGAAAUUAGCUUUAAAAGAACAAACUUAAACCUGCAUUAAUAUUAGCUAAAGAAUUUGUCCACUGACCUUAUCAUAGAUAGCUUCACCGAGUUUGAUUGAUUCAGUGGAUGCUGUAUAGCCAGUCGCUAUUUCCUCAUUCGAGUCAGUUUCAACUUCUCCACCAUUCUGCUUUGUUGCCAACUUGUCAUCUACAACCUGAAUGACAGAAUUUUUUCCGUUUAUUUCUCUUACUAUAAAGUAACAGCCUUAAAAAUUUAUUAAAAGAAGUUUUGACCAGAAAAUUUGGUCGCACAAACUUUUUAAGAGUAUCAGUACUGACCUUUGGAUGAGUGCUCAAGUCCUGCUCAACAUCAUUCUGUUUAGGAUUUUCCACCACAUAUUCUGAAAUGGAACUGAAUCCCUUGUUUUCCUCCACCUCUUCAAUUUCUGUGGGCUGUUUAUCGAUCCUUCCAUGUAUCAUUUCUGCACUUGGGCUCAUGGUAUCAUCCAUUUUAGUAUCUGUGCUGUUACUGGAAUGCAGUCCAGACGCCUCUUCAUCUACAGGUUUGGUCUCAGUUUUGUCAUGAUUAACAUCGGUGUCUUCAUUUUGUAUUUCUUCCUUCUUUUCCACCUCAUCAACGAUCUCUUCUUCUAAUGCUUGAGGGACCUGCAUACCAUCAUUGGGCUUGUUUAUGCAUUCUUCCUCUUCUGAGUGCACUCUGGACUCAAUAUUCUGAGGAACAGCUGUAGGAUCCUGCACAUCAGUUAAUUGUUCAUUUUGCUGAUCAUUAUGAUAUCAUUAAAUAUUGAGAGUGACUGGUAUCUUUGUUUCUUGCACAGCAGGUGAAGAAACAAGCUACUCUGUACCACUGAAAUGACAGACGGAGAUACUGUGUAGAAGGGUUUUUUCUACUGGCUGCAAAUCUCAAGCUCAUGUCUCUUCAUUUUAUUGAUAUUCUAU
Molecule: long non-coding RNA, 4190 nt
Filed under: Hordeum vulgare
Lineage: Eukaryota; Viridiplantae; Streptophyta; Magnoliopsida; Poales; Poaceae
Description: long non-coding RNA (HVUL_LNC014829)
Source: RNAcentral